This 491-nucleotide ribosomal RNA is filed under the name uncultured bacterium. RNAcentral describes it as "partial 16S ribosomal RNA". It matches the Rfam family "Bacterial small subunit ribosomal RNA", at positions 29 to 506 of the family's 1533-position model. The record is from RNAcentral.
AGUGAACGCUGGCGGUAGGCCUAACACAUGCAAGUCGAACGGCAGCACAGUAAGAGCUUGCUCUUACGGGUGGCGAGUGGCGGACGGGUGAGGAAUACAUCGGAAUCUACUUUUUCGUGGGGGAUAACGUAGGGAAACUUACGCUAAUACCGCAUACGACCUACGGGUGAAAGCAGGGGAUCUUCGGACCUUGCGCGAUUGAAUGAGCCGAUGUCGGAUUAGCUAGUUGGCGGGGUAAAGGCCCACCAAGGCGACGAUCCGUAGCUGGUCUGAGAGGAUGAUCAGCCACACUGGAACUGAGACACGGUCCAGACUCCUACGGGAGGCAGCAGUGGGGAAUAUUGGACAAUGGGCGCAAGCCUGAUCCAGCCAUACCGCGUGGGUGAAGAAGGCCUUCGGGUUGUAAAGCCCUUUUGUUGGGAAAGAAAAGCAGCAGGUUAAGACCCCGCUGUUCUGACGGUACCCAAAGAAUAAGCACCGGCUAACUUUGU